Molecule: non-coding RNA, 28 nt
Filed under: Homo sapiens (human)
Lineage: Eukaryota; Metazoa; Chordata; Mammalia; Primates; Hominidae
Source: RNAcentral
CUGACUUCAAAAGUUUUCAGAAAUGCCA